GAUCCUGGCUCAGGAUGAACGCUAGCUACAGGCUUAACACAUGCAAGUCGAGGGGCAGCAUGGUCUUAGCUUGCUAAGGCCGAUGGCGACCGGCGCACGGGUGAGUAACACGUAUCCAACCUGCCGUCUACUCUUGGACAGCCUUCUGAAAGGAAGAUUAAUACAAGAUGGCAUCAUGAGUCCGCAUGUUACACNUGUAAGUUAAGUACGUUCGAGA
Molecule: ribosomal RNA, 217 nt
Filed under: uncultured bacterium
Lineage: Bacteria
Description: partial 16S ribosomal RNA
Rfam family: Bacterial small subunit ribosomal RNA
Source: RNAcentral